GACGAACGCUGGCGGCGUGCUUAACACAUGCAAGUCGAACGGAAAGGCCCUGCUUUUGUGGGGUGCUCGAGUGGCGAACGGGUGAGUAACACGUGAGUAACCUGCCCUUGACUUUGGGAUAACUUCAGGAAACUGGGGCUAAUACCGGAUAGGAGCUCCUGCUCCAUGGUGGGGGUUGGAAAGUUUCGGCGGUUGGGGAUGGACUCGCGGCUUAUCAGCUUGUUGGUGGGGUAGUGGCUUACCAAGGCUUUGACGGGUAGCCGGCCUGAGAGGGUGACCGGCCACAUUGGGACUGAGAUACGGCCCAGACUCCUACGGGAGGCAGCAGUGGGGAAUAUUGCACAAUGGGCGGAAGCCUGAUGCAGCAACGCCGCGUGCGGGAUGACGGCCUUCGGGUUGUAAACCGCUUUCGCCUGUGACGAAGCGUGAGUGACGGUAAUGGGUAAAGAAGCACCGGCUAACUACGU
Molecule: ribosomal RNA, 467 nt
Filed under: uncultured bacterium
Lineage: Bacteria
Description: partial 16S ribosomal RNA
Rfam family: Bacterial small subunit ribosomal RNA
Source: RNAcentral